UUCCCUACACGACGCUCUUCCGAUCUUUGGCAUCUGGAGCCGAAGAAGGACGUAGCAAUCUGCGAUAAGCCUCGGGGAGCUGAUAAGCGAGCUUUGAUCCGAGGAUGUCCGAAUGGGGAAACCCCGCUGGGAGCUUCGUGCUACCCAGUGACUCCCGCCUGAAUAUAUAGGGCGGGUAGAGGGAACGUGGGGAAGUGAAACAUCUCAGUACCCACAGGAAGAGAAAACAACAGUGAUUCCGGUAGUAGUGGCGAGCGAAACCGGAACAGGCCAAACCGAUCAUGUGUGAUAGCCGGCAGGCGUUGCAUGGUCGGGGUUGUGGGACUCUUACGGUUUUCUGCCGAAAACCACGUAGAUAGUUGUUGUAUAGACAAAUGGUCUUGAAAGGCCAGCCGCAGAGGGUGCCAGCCCCGUAGUUGAAAUGCAGCACUAAUGCGAAGAGGAUCCCAAGUAUCACGGGGCCCGAGAAAUCCCGUGUGAAUCUGCCAGGACCACCUGGUAAGCCUAAAUACUCCCAGAUGACCGAUAGCGGACAAGUACCGUGAGGGAAAGGUGAAAAGUACCCCGGGAGGGGAGUGAAAUAGAACCUGAAACCGUUUGCUUACAAUCCGUUGGAGCCUCCUUGUAGGGGUGACAGCGUGCCUUUUGAAGAAUGAGCCUGCGAGUUAGCGAUAUGUGGCGAGGUUAACCCGUGAGGGGUAGCCGUAGCGAAAGCGAGUCUGAAUAGGGCGAUUCAGUCGCAUGUCCUAGACCCGAAGCGAAGUGAUCUAUCCAUGGCCAGGUUGAAGCGACGGUAAGACGUCGUGGAGGACCGAACCCACUUGGGUUGAAAACCGAGGGGAUGAGCUGUGGAUAGGGGUGAAAGGCCAAUCAAACUUCGUGAUAGCUGGUUCUCUCCGAAAUGCAUUUAGGUGCAGCGUUGCGUGUUUCUUGCCGGAGGUAGAGCUACUGGAUGGCCGAUGGGCCCUAAAAGGUUACUGACGUCAGCCAAACUCCGAAUGCCGGUAAGUAAGAGCGCAGCAGUGAGACGGUGGGGGAUAAGCUUCAUCGUCGAGAGGGAAACAACCCAGACUACCGACUAAGGUCCCAAAGCGUGUGCUAAGUGGAAAAGGAUGUGGAGUUGCAUAGACAACCAGGAGGUUGGCUUAGAAGCAGCCACCCUUGAAAGAGUGCGUAAUAGCUCACUGGUCAAGUGAUUCCGCGCCGACAAUGUAACGGGGCUCAAGCACACCACCGAAGUCGUAGCAUUCAAACUAUAGGUAGGCCUUCGUGGUCCAGCCGUGUGAAUGGGUAGGAGAGCGUCGUGUGGCGAGCGAAGCGGCGGAGUGAUCCAGCCGUGGACGCCACACGAGUGAGAAUGCAGGCAUGAGUAGCGAAAGACGGGUGAGAAACCCGUCCUCCGGAAGACCAAGGGUUCCAGGGCCAGGCUAAUCCGCCCUGGGUAAGUCGGGACCUAAGACGAGGCCGACAGGCGUAGUCGAUGGACAACGGGUUGAUAUUCCCGUACCCGCGAAGAACCGCAAGAGCUAAACCAGUAAUGCUAAGAGUCCGAAUUCUCUUUCUGAUCCCUUCGGGGUGAGGAUUGAGAGCUAGCACUCGACCCUAUGCUGGCGCGGCUAGCGUAUUAACAGGUGUGACGCAGGAAGGUAGCUGAGCCGGGCGAUGGUUGUCCCGGUGUAAGGAUGUAGGGCGAGGAAUAGGCAAAUCCGUUCCUCACGAAGCCUGAGAUCCGACGCGUACCCCUCACGGGGGAAAUCAGUGAUCCUAUGCUGCCAAGAAAAGCAUCGACGCGAGGUUCUAGUGGCCCGUACCCCAAACCGACUCAGGUGGUCAGGUAGAGAAUACUAAGGAGAUCGAGAGAAUCGUGGUUAAGGAACUCGGCAAAAUGCCCCCGUAACUUCGGGAGAAGGGGGGCCGGAUUGGUGAAGGGAUUUACUCCUGGAGCUAUGAAGGCCGCAGAGACCAGUGGGAAGCGACUGUUUACUAAAAACACAGGUCCGUGCUAAGUCGCAAGACGAUGUAUACGGACUGACGCCUGCCCGGUGCUGGAAGGUUAAGAGGAGCGGUUAGCACUUGUGCAAAGCUGCGAAUUUAAGCCCCAGUAAACGGCGGUGGUAACUAUAACCAUCCUAAGGUAGCGAAAUUCCUUGUCGGGUAAGUUCCGACCUGCACGAAUGGCGUA
RNAcentral lists this ribosomal RNA (2182 nucleotides) under seawater metagenome. Its description in RNAcentral is "bacterial LSU rRNA". It matches the Rfam family "Bacterial large subunit ribosomal RNA", at positions 1 to 2003 of the family's 2925-position model. The record is from RNAcentral.